GUCCUCUUGUUUUAUAUAUGAGGUCUGACCUGCCCAGUGAAAAUUAUUUUAACGGCCGCGGUAUUUUGACCGUGCAAAGGUAGCAUAAUCAUUAGUCUUUUAAUAGGAGGCUGGAAUGAAGGGUUUGACGAGGUAUUGACUGUCUCAUUUAAUUUGAAAUUAAAAUUUAACUUUUCAGUUAAAAGGCUGAAAUUGUAUUGGAAGACGAGAAGACCCUAUAGAGCUUUAUAUUUAAAAUUAAUAAUAAAUUUUUGUUUAUUAUUAUUUCUUAUUAUUUUAAUUAUUUUGUUGGGGUGACAAAAAUAUAUAAAUAACUUUUUUAUUUAAAUAACAUUGAUUUAUGGUUAUUAGAUCCAGUCUUAUUGAUUGUUAGAUUAAGUUACCUUAGGGAUAACAGCGUAAUCUUCCUUCAGAGUUCAUAUUUACAGGAAGGAUUGCGACCUCGAUGUUGGAUUAAGAUAAUAAUUAGGUGUAGCCGCUUAAUAUAUAGGUCUGUUCGACCUUUAAAUUCUU
RNAcentral lists this ribosomal RNA (513 nucleotides) under Trigomphus melampus. Its description in RNAcentral is "partial 16S rRNA". It matches the Rfam family "Bacterial large subunit ribosomal RNA", at positions 1819 to 2597 of the family's 2925-position model. Lineage: Eukaryota; Metazoa; Arthropoda; Insecta; Odonata; Gomphidae. The record is from RNAcentral.